Molecule: ribosomal RNA, 279 nt
Filed under: uncultured bacterium
Lineage: Bacteria
Description: partial 16S ribosomal RNA
Rfam family: Bacterial small subunit ribosomal RNA
Source: RNAcentral
UGCCAGCAGCCGCGGUAAUACGAAGGGUGCAAGCGUUGUUCGGAAUUACUGGGCGUAAAGGGCGUGUAGGCGGCCUGUUAAGUUAGAUGUGAAAUCCCGGGGCUCAACCCCGGCACUGCAUUUGAUACUGGCAGGCUUGAAUACCGGAGGGGAGUAUGGAAUUCCAAGUGUAGAGGUGAAAUUCGUAGAUAUUUGGAAGAACACCAGUGGCGAAGGCGAUACUCUGGCCGGUUAUUGACGCUGAGGCGCGAAAGCGUGGGGAGCAAACAGGAUUAGAUA